GUUCCUAUAGUUGAAAACAACAAUGGUUCUUCAAACCAUGGGUCUUAGUGAGAAUCUGAGUGGGAAUU
RNAcentral lists this transfer RNA (68 nucleotides) under Barilius bendelisis (Hamilton's barila). Its description in RNAcentral is "tRNA-Glu". It matches the Rfam family "tRNA". From Rfam's summary of the family: Transfer RNA (tRNA) molecules are approximately 80 nucleotides in length. Their secondary structure includes four short double-helical elements and three loops (D, anti-codon, and T loops). The record is from RNAcentral. Lineage: Eukaryota; Metazoa; Chordata; Actinopteri; Cypriniformes; Danionidae.